Molecule: long non-coding RNA, 502 nt
Organism: Cyprinus carpio (common carp)
Lineage: Eukaryota; Metazoa; Chordata; Actinopteri; Cypriniformes; Cyprinidae
Source: Ensembl
AUGAUCAGGUUGAUAAAAAAAAGUAGGCCGUUUAAAUUAAUUUUAAACAUUUCAAUCAGUCAAGUGGUCAGUCGUGUUGAUGACAUCUGGUGGUGUGAUGACUUUACUUUUUGUAUUAUUCAAAGAACCACAUUUAUUACAAUGAUGUUGGGAAAAAAAAAAACCCCUAUGAAAUAUUCUAGUAAACCAAGGCAUGAAUAUGUGUUGGCUCAACGUGAGACAAGUACAGAAAACACACAACACAUCCAUCCAUUCACUGGGUUUAUGAUGAUGACUUGUCUUCUUUCCUUGAAGACACAACCAAUAAGAACAACAGAUCACGUGAGCGAUGAUUUUCCCAAGUAAUAACUUUCUUCAACAAAACAAAACGUCAUAUCUGUAGUCCGUAUAAAUGAAAGUAUUAAUAUACAGUUCAUUACAUUUAAAAUGAUUUAAAUAUACAUUGAAGUGUUAACAAAACCUGAGUAAUAAAUAAAUAAUAAUAAUAAAACUUACCGUGUAA